Caretta caretta (loggerhead turtle) is the source of this 516-nucleotide non-coding RNA. NCBI's taxonomy places the organism in Eukaryota, Metazoa, Chordata, Testudines, Cheloniidae. The record is from RefSeq and is a predicted model, not a curated record.
UAGUCUCUAAGGUGCCGCAAGUACUCCUUUUCUUAAUUAACAUGUGGGAUUGUGAGAAAUCCUGGAUAACGUUUGGUUGUUUUUUUUUUUUACAGGGUUACAUGUCAGCUGUUCGUGCAAACUGUGAACACCUCACUAGAUGGAAGGGGUACCAAAAUACAUGAUUAUGAAGGGAUUAUGAUGGGAAAUUAGUUUGUAGUAGAGCAGGAGAAUAAACAGCUAAUUUUUGGGAAAUAGUUGAAGAUCUAACGGACAUGUAAAAUUAGACUGGACAAAGAAUGGAGAAAGUAUGUCAUAGGGAAUGACCCUGCACUGGCCUGAGGGAGAUGGAGGGGAUGAACUACAAGUCUCAUUUAUCUCAAGUUUCCCCUCUCUCUUGAGGAGGAUGUGCAUGCAAAUAUGCCAUCCUUUCAUUCUUUGACCUGCCUGGAUAAGCAAAGGUCUGAGGAGAUUCUGUGAAAGAGAGAUAUAGGAUAAGAAAAUAAUCUGGGGAAUGCAAGCAAUGCCCCACCCCAC